Molecule: ribosomal RNA, 255 nt
Filed under: uncultured bacterium
Lineage: Bacteria
Description: partial 16S ribosomal RNA
Rfam family: Bacterial small subunit ribosomal RNA
Source: RNAcentral
UACGUAGGGGGCAAGCGUUGUCCGGAAGUCAUUGGGCGUAAAGAGCGUGUAGGCGGCCCGAUAAGUCCGCUGUGAAAGUCCAGGGCUCAACCCUGGAAUGCCGGUGGAUACUGUCGGGCUCGAAUCCGGAAGAGGUGAGUGGGAAUUCCCGGUGUAGCGGUGAAAUGCGCAGAUAUCGGGAGGAACACCUAUGGCGAAGGCAGCUCGCUGGGACGUUACUGACGCUGAGACGCGAAAGCGUGGGGAGCAAACAGG